UGGGGAAUAUUGGACAAUGGGCGCAAGCCUGAUCCAGCCAUGCCGCGUGUGUGAAGAAGGCCUUUUGGUUGUAAAGCACUUUAAGCGAGGAGGAGGCUACUUGGAUUAAUACUCUAGGAUAGUGGACGUUACUCGCAGAAUAAGCACCGGCUAACUCUGUGCCAGCAGCCGCGGUAAUACAGAGGGUGCGAGCGUUAAUCGGAUUUACUGGGCGUAAAGCGUGCGUAGGCGGCUUCUUAAGUCGGAUGUGAAAUCCCUGAGCUUAACUUAGGAGUUGCAUUCGAUACUGGGAAGCUAGAGUAUGGGAGAAGAUGGUAGAAUUCCAGGUGUAGCGGUGAAAUGCGUAGAGAUCUGGAGGAAUACCGAUGGCGAAGGCAGCCAUCUGGCCUAAUACUGACGCUGAGGUACGAAAGCAUGGGGAGCAAACAGG
Molecule: ribosomal RNA, 430 nt
Filed under: bacterium
Lineage: Bacteria
Description: partial 16S ribosomal RNA
Rfam family: Bacterial small subunit ribosomal RNA
Source: RNAcentral